Molecule: ribosomal RNA, 1211 nt
Filed under: Staphylococcus aureus
Lineage: Bacteria; Bacillati; Bacillota; Bacilli; Caryophanales; Staphylococcaceae
Description: bacterial SSU rRNA
Rfam family: Bacterial small subunit ribosomal RNA
Source: RNAcentral
UUUAUGGAGAGUUUGAUCCUGGCUCAGGAUGAACGCUGGCGGCGUGCCUAAUACAUGCAAGUCGAGCGAACGGACGAGAAGCUUGCUUCUCUGAUGUUAGCGGCGGACGGGUGAGUAACACGUGGAUAACCUACCUAUAAGACUGGGAUAACUUCGGGAAACCGGAGCUAAUACCGGAUAAUAUUUUGAACCGCAUGGUUCAAAAGUGAAAGACGGUCUUGCUGUCACUUAUAGAUGGAUCCGCGCUGCAUUAGCUAGUUGGUAAGGUAACGGCUUACCAAGGCAACGAUGCAUAGCCGACCUGAGAGGGUGAUCGGCCACACUGGAACUGAGACACGGUCCAGACUCCUACGGGAGGCAGCAGUAGGGAAUCUUCCGCAAUGGGCGAAAGCCUGACGGAGCAACGCCGCGUGAGUGAUGAAGGUCUUCGGAUCGUAAAACUCUGUUAUUAGGGAAGAACAUAUGUGUAAGUAACUGUGCACAUCUUGACGGUACCUAAUCAGAAAGCCACGGCUAACUACGUGCCAGCAGCCGCGGUAAUACGUAGGUGGCAAGCGUUAUCCGGAAUUAUUGGGCGUAAAGCGCGCGUAGGCGGUUUUUUAAGUCUGAUGUGAAAGCCCACGGCUCAACCGUGGAGGGUCAUUGGAAACUGGAAAACUUGAGUGCAGAAGAGGAAAGUGGAAUUCCAUGUGUAGCGGUGAAAUGCGCAGAGAUAUGGAGGAACACCAGUGGCGAAGGCGACUUUCUGGUCUGUAACUGACGCUGAUGUGCGAAAGCGUGGGGAUCAAACAGGAUUAGAUACCCUGGUAGUCCACGCCGUAAACGAUGAGUGCUAAGUGUUAGGGGGUUUCCGCCCCUUAGUGCUGCAGCUAACGCAUUAAGCACUCCGCCUGGGGAGUACGACCGCAAGGUUGAAACUCAAAGGAAUUGACGGGGACCCGCACAAGCGGUGGAGCAUGUGGUUUAAUUCGAAGCAACGCGAAGAACCUUACCAAAUCUUGACAUCCUUUGACAACUCUAGAGAUAGAGCUUUCCCCUUCGGGGGACAAAGUGACAGGUGGUGCAUGGUUGUCGUCAGCUCGUGUCGUGAGAUGUUGGGUUAAGUCCCGCAACGAGCGCAACCCUUAAGCUUAGUUGCCAUCAUUAAGUUGGGCACUCUAAGUUGACUGCCGGUGACAAACCGGAGGAAGGUGGGGAUGACGUCAAAUCAU